AACAAUGUUUGAGUUUUUUUUUUGUCAUUUUUGGUAGAUGAAUUCCUUUCAUGGUGUUCAAAACCUCAAAAAGCACCAAUGCAGGUAACCCUGGUGUCCUGUCAGGAACAUGUAGAGACAGAUCCCCAUC
Molecule: long non-coding RNA, 130 nt
Organism: Alosa sapidissima (American shad)
Lineage: Eukaryota; Metazoa; Chordata; Actinopteri; Clupeiformes; Clupeidae
Exons: 3
Source: RefSeq, a predicted model, not a curated record